Molecule: transfer RNA, 73 nt
Filed under: Chloroflexota bacterium
Lineage: Bacteria; Bacillati; Chloroflexota
Description: Chloroflexi bacterium tRNA-Thr
Rfam family: tRNA
About the family: Transfer RNA (tRNA) molecules are approximately 80 nucleotides in length. Their secondary structure includes four short double-helical elements and three loops (D, anti-codon, and T loops). Further hydrogen bonds mediate the characteristic L-shaped molecular structure. tRNAs have two regions of fundamental functional importance: the anti-codon, which is responsible for specific mRNA codon recognition, and the 3' end, to which the tRNAs corresponding amino acid is attached (by aminoacyl-tRNA synthetases). tRNAs cope with the degeneracy of the genetic code in two manners: having more than one tRNA (with a specific anti-codon) for a particular amino acid; and 'wobble' base-pairing, i.e. permitting non-standard base-pairing at the 3rd anti-codon position.
Source: RNAcentral
GCCGGGAUAGCUCAGCUGGCAGAGCAGCUGUUUUGUAAACAGCAGGUCGUGGGUUCGUGUCCCACUCCCGGCU